RNAcentral lists this long non-coding RNA (679 nucleotides) under Mytilus galloprovincialis (Mediterranean mussel). Lineage: Eukaryota; Metazoa; Mollusca; Bivalvia; Mytilida; Mytilidae. The record is from RNAcentral.
AUAUCAAACCGUUCCCUUUGUAAUUAAAAUGCAUUAACAUAACGGUCAAAAUAGUCUGUUUUAAUAUGUCAGUGGAAUCUUCAGCUUUAGAAGAAUGUAACAAACUUUGUAUUUAUAAACGAUAUAAAGUAGUAUUUGGUUUUGAAAGAUACUUAGAUUUUCAUUGUAAUGUAUCUAUAUUAACAAAAUUGCGUAGCGGCACACUUAGAUUAAAUGUUGAAGUUGGUCGUUAUCUGAAUACUCAAAGAGAAAAUAGAAUUUGUAUAUGUUGCAAUAUGAAUGUUUUGGAGCACGAAUAUCAUUUUGUUUUAUCAUGUCCAACGUAUAGAUCUGUGCGUAUAGAAUUUUAUAUUUAUUCUACUUUUCUUGGCCAAAUCGGCACAAGUUAUUCUAAAUCUCUGACAGUAAAACUAUGCAUUUAUUCAAAUGCAGCCGCUUGGAAAAUUAGAUCACAUAUAAUGUCAUAAUAUUAUUGUAUACUCUGUAACUUCUGUUCUCUGCUGCCUUUUGUUUGUCAUAUAUUGUAUAUAUUUUCGUUUGCCAUAGCAUGUGAAAAUAAAGUAUGCAUUAUUCUGACUACAGUAAUAACGAUGCCGAUCUGAUAAAUCAAUAAACUGAUAAUGCCCCCAGUUUAUCAAAUCUCGUAUCUAAUUAGUCGAUAACGCAAAAUCACGAUCGA